UAUCACAGCAAUUUAUUAGGGUGAAGUCAAGGCUUGGCCAUAUCGAGCACAAGCAGAGGCCCCACACCUAUUGAAGGUCCCAGCAGAUAUCUGUCCACUGCCACUGCUGCCCAUCACCACCCAGACUCACAGACCUCACUUGUGUGGAGACUUGUGGCCUUCAGAAAUCAUGGGCGAACUCAGGAAACUCGCUUUUGGAUAUUGCAGUGGAAAGUGAUUCCUCUUUCAGCAAGAGAGAAUACUACCAAAGAAGAAGAAGAAGAAAGAAUCCAGCAAUCAGAACUUGGACAGCAAAUUAAGCUCUUAUUCAAAGAUUAGUUCACAUCAUCUGCACUCCAUUAAAUGUUCUCCCUAGCCAGAGGAUAUAAUGCCAGCAAUAUCUUCAAGGGGGAAUAGCUUCUGCUUCUGCCAAGUGUUUUCAAUUUGCUGGCUCUCGCAGUGGUGAUAUUGGGAGUCACGGACCAUGGAUCUAGCAAUUCCGAGCACUCUGCAUUUUAAGGGAUUAUUCACACAGAGUGCAUCUAUUUCAUUUGGAUAUUAAACUAUGGUUGAUGACAAAUUUGUAAGGCAAUCAAAUACAGGGGCCCUGUUCAGACAUGGGCGGGCGGGAAAGAUGCUGUACACACGUACAGAAUCUGUUUUAUUUUAUUUUAUUUUAUUUAUUUAUUUGGUCAACUUAACACAUUUAUAUAUCAUCCCAUAUAAAAUCUCAGGGUGGUUUACUACUUAAACCUAAGAGUAAUAUAACACAGAUUAAAAUGCUCCCGGCUGGCAUCUGCCUCUCAGUCUCCUUGACAGUUUUUAGGAAAAAGUAAAGAUAUGGCUUGUCACCCAAGCAUUUGAAUGAAACUUUGUGUUUUAUGUAUUAUUUUAAAUGGGUUUUAAAAUGUGUGUGUGUGUGUAUAUAUAAUUUUUAUAUUUGUAUUAUCUGUAAUUUUGUAUUUUAAUUAUGUAUUGUUUUAAUUUUAUUGUAAACUGCUUUGAGAUC
Long non-coding RNA from Hemicordylus capensis (graceful crag lizard), 988 nucleotides. RefSeq lists it as uncharacterized. The transcript is spliced from 3 exons. The record is from RefSeq and is a predicted model, not a curated record. NCBI's taxonomy places the organism in Eukaryota, Metazoa, Chordata, Lepidosauria, Squamata, Cordylidae.